This 446-nucleotide ribosomal RNA is filed under the name uncultured bacterium. RNAcentral describes it as "partial 16S ribosomal RNA". It matches the Rfam family "Bacterial small subunit ribosomal RNA", at positions 329 to 792 of the family's 1533-position model. The record is from RNAcentral.
UCCCAGACUCCUACGGGAGGCAGCAGUGGGGAAUAUUGCACAAUGGGGGGAACCCUGAUGCAGCGACGCCGCGUGAGCGAUGAAGUAUUUCGGUAUGUAAAGCUCUAUCAGCAGGGAAGAAAAUGACGGUACCUGACUAAGAGGCCCCGGCUAACUACGUGCCAGCAGCCGCGGUAAUACGUAGGGGGCAAGCGUUAUCCGGAUUUACUGGGUGUAAAGGGAGCGUAGACGGCAAUGCAAGCCAGAUGUGAAAGCCCGGGGCUCAACCCCGGGACUGCAUUUGGAACUGUGUAGCUGGAGUGUCGGAGAGGCAGGCGGAAUUCCUAGUGUAGCGGUGAAAUGCGUAGAUAUCAGGAGGAACACCGGUGGCGAAGGCGGCCUGCUGGACUGCAACUGACGUUGAGGCCCGAAAGCGUGGGGAGCAAACAGGAUUAGAUACCCCUGUA